UUGAACUGAAGAGUUUGAUCCUGGCUCAGAUUGAACGCUGGCGGCAUGCCUUACACAUGCAAGUCGAACGGCAGCACGGGCUUCGGCCUGGUGGCGAGUGGCGAACGGGUGAGUAAUACAUCGGAACAUGUCCUGUAGUGGGGGAUAGCCCGGCGAAAGCCGGAUUAAUACCGCAUACGAUCUACGGAUGAAAGCGGGGGACCUUCGGGCCUCGCGCUAUAGGGUUGGCCGAUGGCUGAUUAGCUAGUUGGUGGGGUAAAGGCCUACCAAGGCGACGAUCAGUAGCUGGUCUGAGAGGACGACCAGCCACACUGGGACUGAGACACGGCCCAGACUCCUACGGGAGGCAGCAGUGGGGAAUUUUGGACAAUGGGGGCAACCCUGAUCCAGCAAUGCCGCGUGUGUGAAGAAGGCCUUCGGGUUGUAAAGCACUUUUGUCCGGAAAGAAAUCCUUGGCCCUAAUACAGUCGGGGGAUGACGGUACCGGAAGAAUAAGCACCGGCUAACUACGUGCCAGCAGCCGCGGUAAUACGUAGGGUGCGAGCGUUAAUCGGAAUUACUGGGCGUAAAGCGUGCGCAGGCGGUUUGCUAAGACCGAUGUGAAAUCCCCGGGCUCAACCUGGGAACUGCAUUGGUGACU
Molecule: ribosomal RNA, 640 nt
Filed under: Burkholderia ubonensis
Lineage: Bacteria; Pseudomonadati; Pseudomonadota; Betaproteobacteria; Burkholderiales; Burkholderiaceae
Description: bacterial SSU rRNA
Rfam family: Bacterial small subunit ribosomal RNA
Source: RNAcentral